Molecule: long non-coding RNA, 383 nt
Filed under: Triticum aestivum (bread wheat)
Lineage: Eukaryota; Viridiplantae; Streptophyta; Magnoliopsida; Poales; Poaceae
Description: long non-coding RNA (TAES_LNC001643)
Source: RNAcentral
GAAUGGAAGGAUAGGGAAUAACACAUUUCUCACCAUUCGUCUUGCAUAAUGAAUGUGUUUUCAAUGUCAGCAAACUUGCGGUUCUCGAAGAUCAAAAGGUUGCGCUUCUCAGCAAUCUUCAAAAAGAGUUCAUAAGAUCCCAUUAUAUAAAGGAUGCUGAAUUUGCAUAUUCAAUAGUGAACAACUCUGGUAACAAAAUAAAGGAGGCAUCUACCCAUAAUCAUAAGAGAAUUACAUCCUGUACUUGCUAAACUGAUCCUUCUCCUAGUAGUUGGCGUCCUCCCCCUCCAUAAAUAUGGCAGAAAUCAUCCAUCAACAGAGCUUAAAACAGGAUGGAAGGUGAAAAAAGCUCGUCAAGUUGAACCCACAAGCAUGGACGCUAU